CACAUUUGUAGUGGACCUGGGAUUUCUAGAAGUGCCAAUGGAUGAAGAUAAUCAAAGAGAAUACUUCAAAAUGAGAAGAUCCUGCCAUGGAAAAGACGACUGGGUGGACAUAAAGUGGAAAGGAGGGGAAAUAACUCACACCAUCCUGCAGGACACCUUCAGCUGCGGGGUUUUUGUAAUGCAGAUGGCCAAGGAAGUUGCACAGAACUUCCAACAUCCUUUCCCAAAUUGAUAUGGAACUUUCAAAAACACAUGGAGCAACUGCGAAAAGAAAUGGCUGAGGAUAUACAAAAAAUGUCUGGUAUGUAAUGACAUUUAAUUCAUGUUCAUUGUUCAUAGAUGAGAGCACCCCUCCAGCUUGGAUGGAGUCUGUCACUCCUAAGCAGGCCAGGCUUGGUCCUGUUUGUGGGUGAGUCCCAGAAAGAGGGCCAAUUAUUUACAAAUUCUAUCUUUUGGGAAGGGCAGAAAACAGUUUUCAACCAGCAAUUGAGUUGUGAGACACUGCUGUAGAAGCUCAUCACUCCCCCUAACUGGGAGGGGGCCAGAGACAAUUACUUGAUGCCGACACAUCUUUCUAGCUGAUUUACACGCUGAAGCUAUGUUGAGCUUGGUGACCUCUGACUGUUUCAUCCUAACAUCGUUGGUGCCGACGUGGAUAACAAUAUCUCUCUACUCUCGUCAGUUUUAGCCUUAGCCAGCACCAUCUUCAGAUUAGCCUGAUCGUUGGUAGCCCUGCCCCCAUGUAAACAGUGUAUGAUCGCUGGAUGAUUUAUUUUUAAGUCUACCACUACGGGUAAUGGAGUCACCAAUGACAAGGGUGUUCAAUUUGUCAGAGCUAAUGGUGGGAGGCUUCGGCGUCUCAGACCCCGUAACGGGUGGAGGGGAAACCAGAGAAGACUCGGAUUCUGACUCGUUGCUUAAUACCGAGGAAAAGACAGUUUCAAGUUGGAUAUUCGACGGAUAUUCGCGCUUUCAAACCUCAAUAGCUUACAAAUCAUUUGAGCCACGACUACAAAUAAGUAUCAUUAUGUUGGAGAAAUUGCGCACAACAUUGCACUGUUCUUAUUUUCACGUUUGGACAUUAAUUCGCUUUCAAAAGCUAAUAAACAUGUGGAAAUGUGAGCAGCAUUUUGUAUUCCUAGUUGAAUUAGUUAGGGAGCAUAAACAAAGUACAAACUUUUUUUACAUUAGAAUUUCAAUAGCUCCUUGGUCAUGUGGAGCCAUGAUUGACUCAGUGGGUUUUGUCCACCAUGCCUCCGGACCUACUCACUCCCACAGUCAUACUCUUAACCUGAACCUAGUUUUGUCUUGUGGAAUAAAUAUUGUGGAUCUUAAUGUUUUUCCUCCUAAUCCUGGACUAUCGGACCACUAUUUUUAUUACAUUUGCAAUCGUAACAAAUAAUCUGCUCAGACCCCAACCAAGGAUCAUCAAAAGCCGUGCUAUAAAUUCUCGGACAACCCAAAGAUUCCAAGAUGCCCUUCCAGACUCCCUCCACCUACCCAAGGACGUCAGAGUACAAAAAUCAGUUAACCACCUAACUGAGAAACUAAAUUUAACCUUGCGCAAUACCCUAGAUGCAGCCGCACCCCUAAAAAUAAAAAUCAUUUCUCAUAAGAAUCUAGCUCCCUGGUAUACAGAAUAUACCCGAGCCCUGAAGCAAGCUUCCAGAAAAUUGGAAUGGAAAUGGCGCUACACCAAACUGGAAGUCUUCCGACUGGCUUGGAAAGACCGUACCAUGCAGUAUCAAAGAGCCCUCACUGCUGCUCGAUCAUCCUAUUUUUCCAAGUUAAUUGAGGAGAUAAGAACAAUCCAAAAUGUAUUUUUGAUACUGUCGCAAAGCUAACUAAAAAGCAGCAUUCCCCAAGAGAGGAUGGCUUUCACUUCAGCAGUGAUAAAUUCAUGCCAUCCCUAGGAGGGGUGCGUCACUUGAGUGGGUUGAGUCACUGACGUCAUCUUCCUGUCCGGGUUGGUGCCCCCCUCUGGUUCGUGUCGUUGGGGAGAUCUUCGUGUGCUGUACUCAGCCUUGUCUCAGGGUAGUAGGUUGGUGGUUGAAGAUAUCCCUCUAGUGGUGUGGGGACUGUGCUUUGGCAAAGUGGGUGUGGUUAUAUCCUGCCUAUUUGGCCCUGUCCGGGGGCAUCGUCGGACAGGGCCACAGUGUCUCCCGAUCCCUCCUGUCUCAGCCUCCAGUAUUUAUGCUGCAUUAGUUUGUGUCGGGGGGUUAG
Salmo salar (Atlantic salmon) is the source of this 2223-nucleotide non-coding RNA. Lineage: Eukaryota; Metazoa; Chordata; Actinopteri; Salmoniformes; Salmonidae. The record is from RefSeq and is a predicted model, not a curated record.